GGGCGCGGGGCGGUCUCCAUAGCAACGGCGGCUGCCUGCGGCCUGCGGGUUCUGUGAGGCCUACAGGCUCUGCGAGGCCUGCGGGUUCUGCGGGUUCCCACCCCACCAUGCCCACUGACCGUGUCUUCCAGUGCCACAUCCCCGCAGUUCGUGACCACCUCCCGGUUCGCUGACCCCAGCACCUCCCUCUGGAGAAGGAACUGUUCCUACUACCCUCCCGAACCCCCCCGGCCCGACCCGAGGCCGUCCCCUCUCAUCCUACCUCCCAUACCCAGAGCAGAGGCCGCCCCCCACCUCACCACCACCUCCUCUCAGCUGUAGGGUCUCUCCUGGGCGCUGUGCUGUGCUGCAGACGGACCCAUCCCGUUCCCCCAUUGCUCCCCAUGAGGCCUGGGGGGGCGCUGGGCUGUGGGUGAAUGGCGUUGUCUCUGGCAGCACAUACAGCAAGAUCAAAUGCCAAAUCUUUGGUGUUUGUGAGGAACAAAUGCCCAACAGCCAUCCCAUGGUAUGUCAGUGCUUUGUCUGACUGUAGUGUGAAGGUGUUGCUCAGGACCAGGGACACGUGGAGCUAUCGGUAAGGCUGUGAUUUCUUCUCCUCUGAAUUUGUACAGAGGGAUGAAGGGUGACCUCAUUGCAGCCUUCCAGGACCUACAGGGAGCCUCCAAACAGGAGGGGAGGCAACUGGGGAGUUGCUCUUUACAAAGGUAGGUAAUGGCAGGACAAGGGGAAAA
RNAcentral lists this long non-coding RNA (731 nucleotides) under Gallus gallus (chicken). RNAcentral describes it as "long non-coding RNA NONGGAT003607". The record is from RNAcentral. Lineage: Eukaryota; Metazoa; Chordata; Aves; Galliformes; Phasianidae.